UCGUAACAAGGUCUCCGUUGGUGAACCAGCGGAGGGAUCAUUAUCGAGUGUAAAAACUCCCAACCCUUUGUGAACCUUACCAAAGUUGCUUCGGCGGUGCCGCCCCGGGCGCUGACUCGCUCAGUGCCCCGGAACCAGGCGCCCGCCGGGGGACCGAAACUCUUGUAUUACCUAUGGUAUUCUCUGAGUGGAUUUAAACAAAUCAAAUUAAAACUUUCAACAACGGAUCUCUUGGCUCUGGCAUCGAUGAAGAACGCAGCGAAAUGCGAUAAGUAAUGCGAAUUGCAGAAUUCAGUGAAUCAUCGAAUCUUUGAACGCACAUUGCGCCCGCUAGUAUUCUGGCGGGCAUGCCUGUCUGAGCGUCAUUUCAACCCUCGUCCCCCCGGCACUUGCGGCCGGCGGGGGCGGUGUUGGGGAUCGGCACCCUUCUGUGUGCCGGCCCCGAAAUACAGUGGCGACCACGCCGUAGCCUCCUCUGCGUAGUAGUAAAAAACUCGCGGGCGGAGAGCGGUGCGGUCCGCCGUGAAACACCCAACUUUACAAGGUUGACCUCAGAUCAGGUAGGAAUACCCGCUGAACCUAAGCAUAUCAAU
RNAcentral lists this unclassified non-coding RNA (593 nucleotides) under Paragliomastix luzulae. RNAcentral describes it as "Gliomastix luzulae sequence contains 18S rRNA gene, ITS1, 5.8S rRNA gene, ITS2, 28S rRNA gene". The stretch from base 212 to 365 matches the Rfam family "5.8S ribosomal RNA". The record is from RNAcentral. Lineage: Eukaryota; Fungi; Ascomycota; Sordariomycetes; Hypocreales; Bionectriaceae.